GACGAACGCUGGCGGCGUGCCUAAUACAUGCAAGUAGAACGCUGAAGAGAGGAGCUUGCUCUUCUUGGAUGAGUUGCGAACGGGUGAGUAACGCGUAGGUAACCUGCCUUGUAGCGGGGGAUAACUAUUGGAAACGAUAGCUAAUACCGCAUAACAAUGGAUGACACAUGUCAUUUAUUUGAAAGGGGCAAUUGCUCCACUACAAGAUGGACCUGCGUUGUAUUAGCUAGUAGGUGAGGUAACGGCUCACCUAGGCGACGAUACAUAGCCGACCUGAGAGGGUGAUCGGCCACACUGGGACUGAGACACGGCCCAGACUCCUACGGGAGGCAGCAGUAGGGAAUCUUCGGCAAUGGGGGCAACCCUGACCGAGCAACGCCGCGUGAGUGAAGAAGGUUUUCGGACCGUAAAGCUCUGUUGUAAGUCAAGAACGAGUGUGAGAGUGGAAAGUUCACACUGUGACGGUAGCUUACCAGAAAGGGACGGCUAACUACGUG
This 497-nucleotide ribosomal RNA is filed under the name uncultured bacterium. RNAcentral describes it as "partial 16S ribosomal RNA". It matches the Rfam family "Bacterial small subunit ribosomal RNA", at positions 28 to 507 of the family's 1533-position model. The record is from RNAcentral.